This 108-nucleotide small nucleolar RNA is filed under the name Nelumbo nucifera (sacred lotus). RNAcentral describes it as "Small nucleolar RNA snoR100". It matches the Rfam family "Small nucleolar RNA snoR100". Lineage: Eukaryota; Viridiplantae; Streptophyta; Magnoliopsida; Proteales; Nelumbonaceae. The record is from Rfam by way of RNAcentral.
AAAUGAAGGAAGCAUGGUAAGGUGCACAGAGAUUAAAUUGAUCUUCAUGUUUGCUUGCUAUGAUGCUUUCUUGCUUUGAUUUUGCAGGCCUGGAUCUGAUCUACAUUU